Non-coding RNA from Camellia sinensis, 2040 nucleotides. The record is from RefSeq and is a predicted model, not a curated record. Lineage: Eukaryota; Viridiplantae; Streptophyta; Magnoliopsida; Ericales; Theaceae.
UCUUCCUGUAUUCAAAAGUUUUUCUCAAGUUUUAUAUUUUUCUUAGUGAGAGAGUGUUGUCGUAGUUCUGUUCGCCAAAUCUACUCAGUAGGUGUAUUGUUAUAGCUGGUCCAAUCAUCAUAUCCUAGGAGACAGACGUCGAAGAACCUUCAGCACUAGUGUAGGCUUCGAUUUGCUGCUUUUUUGCUAUUUUAUAUUAAGAAUAAAAUAACAAUUUUGCCCUUUAAAUAUUUGACAAACCCACCAACGCAGCAGCAGUCCAAGACUAUUAUACCAACUCUCUUUGUCGCCGACCGUCAAACACUUCUGACAGAUGGCUUCCUUUAUGUCCACUGGCACGUCAACAUGGCCAUGACGAAUGUGUGCCUGUGGCUAUCGCCACUGUUUUGUGAAGGUAUCGAGAUCUCACAAAAAUCCUGAUCGUGCAUAUUACGUUUGCCCCCAGCCAGUGCAAUGUGUAAAUUGGAUUGGUUGAUGUGACAAAUUAGGGAGACGAAGCCCCAACUAUGACUCAUCCACAAACGAAGUCAUGCAGUUACGGAAUGAUGUCGUGCAAAUUGAACAAACAUUUCAUACAAACAAGAUAACAGCCAAGUUCAAUAUGAAACCAGGAGCACGAGGAUGCGAGAAGUGUUCACAAGUGCAACUAUGAUUGGGAAACAUCAUUGGACCCCCGACGAGAAGGUUGUGGAUGUUGGCGAUGGUUAAUCCAAUUCAAUUGACUUUGCUAGGUUGCAACCAUUUUUGAAGCCUUACAAACUGGUGUUUAACACGCCUCCCAACUCCCCUAACGUCGACAUUAAGGGUGAUCGCGAAUCGAGUUAGGUCGAAUGGCAUCCCAUCCACCAUCCAUCCAAAAUUAGGUGGAUUGAAAAAAAUUAAUUCACAUCCGUCCACCAGAUUGGUAGAUGUAGAUUAAGCGGGCCGUACAGGUUGGCUAAUAGAUGCGAUCGGUUUGGCAGUUUGAACUUUACAAACUUUGACCAUUUUUUUGAAUUAUAAUUCAUAACUUUUACAAUCUCCAAUAACUAGUAAUCUAAAAAAAUAUGUAUUAUUUGUCUAUAAUAGGCCACGGCACCACGCAUGCAUAUUUUUAAGGUAUUAUUUUUUAUUUUCACAAAAAUAUAUAUAUUAUUAUUUCUAUUCUAUGUUGUUACUUGUUAGUAGUUUCUUUUAUUUCUUUUUCUUUGAACUUCAUCUACAGAUAGAUCGGGUUCAUGCAUGUGUGGAAUGGUUGAUCCGUUAUUCAAACCAUAUCCGCAGAUUUUGAAAUAUUUCAUCUACAUCCAUCCGUUAAAAGACACGCAUCCACCCAAAAUCAAUCGAGUUAGGUCAGGUUGAUCGAUUUGAGCAGGUUGGACGAAUCCAUGAUCACCCCUAGUCAACAUUGAUGAAGCAGCCCAGGGACAGAGGAAGAGGGGGUAGUACAAGUGGAAAGUCGAAGAAGAUGUCAAGUGGAGCAUUAGUGCUUGUGGAUAGUUCCAACCAUCUGUCUGAGGCCGUUUGGUCACAAAAACACCUCACAGUAAGGCACGAAACUAGUGCAUCUCAUAAGUAUGGCAUUGAGGCAUGUAUGCAGAGGAUUAUGGCUAUACCCAGCUUUAUCAGUACCCCUUAUUCCAUUUUUCCUACAUUGCUUUAGAGAACGCAAAUUAUCGGGAGAUACUGAUAUACAUGCCUGAUGAUGGGAAUUUGGUCACGUGACUUGCGGCAUUGAAGGACUCAAAAGGAAUGUGACUUCUUGGGUUUACUGGUUUCUGAGAAAAUAGGCAUACCAACUGUUUUGGGUUAGGAUGGUUUUUAUGGAAUGGAUGUGUUGUUAUGUUGUUUUUUAUUUCAAGUUUGUUAUUAUUAUUAUAGUUGCUUUAAUUUUGUUUUAUGGGUGAAUUGAGGCAAAUGCUACCUUUUAAACGUUUUAAGUAGAUAGACGAAAUUAAUGGUUUGUGGAAGGUGCUCAAUUUAUUUUGUGAAUUGACAACUUUAGUAGUUGGUUUUUAUAGUAGUUAUUACAAUUUUGUUUGGCAAAAUUUGUGGAUAUAU